Molecule: ribosomal RNA, 388 nt
Filed under: uncultured bacterium
Lineage: Bacteria
Description: bacterial SSU rRNA
Rfam family: Bacterial small subunit ribosomal RNA
Source: RNAcentral
GAUGAACGCUAGCGGCAGGCCUAAUACAUGCAAGUCGAACGGAAUAUGAUUUUCGGAUUAUAUUUAGUGGCGCACGGGUGAGUAACACGUACAUAACUUACCCUCAAGAGGGGGAUAGCCUCGGGAAACUGAGCGUAAUACCCCAUAGUAUUAUUGAACGGCAUCGUUUGAUAAUUAAAGCUACGGCGCUUGAGGAUAGAUGUGCGUCUGAUUAGCUAGUUGGUAAGGUAACGGCUUACCAAGGCGACGAUCAGUAGGGGGCGUGAGAGCGUGGCCCCCCACACGGGUACGUGAGACACGGACCCGACUCCUACGGGAGGCAGCAGUAAGGAAUAUUGGUCAAUGCCCGGAACGGGUGAACCAGCACUGCCGCCGUGAAGGAUGACUG